CCGGCGCACGGGUGAGUAACACGUAUCCAACCUGCCGUCUACUCUUGGACAGCCUUCUGAAAGGAAGAUUAAUACAAGAUGGCAUCAUGAGUUCACAUGUUCACAUGAUUAAAGGUAUUCCGGUAGACGAUGGGGAUGCGUUCCAUUAGAUAGUAGGCGGGGUAACGGCCCACCUAGUCUUCGAUGGAUAGGGGUUCUGAGAGGAAGGUCCCCCACAUUGGAACUGAGACACGGUCCAAACUCCUACGGGAGGCAGCAGUGAGGAAUAUUGGUCAAUGGGCGAGAGCCUGAACCAGCCAAGUAGCGUGAAGGAUGACUGCCCUAUGGGUUGUAAACUUCUUUUAUAAAGGAAUAAAGUCGGGUAUGCAUACCCGUUUGCAUGUACUUUAUGAAUAAGGAUCGGCUAACUCCGUGCCAGCAGCCGCGGUAAUACGGAGGAUCCGAGCGUUAUCCGGAUUUAUUGGGUUUAAAGGGAGCGUAGAUGGAUGUUUAAGUCAGUUGUGAAAGUUUGCGGCUCAACCGUAAAAUUGCAGUUGAUACUGGAUAUCUUGAGUGCAGUUGAGGCAGGCGGAAUUCGUGGUGUAGCGGUGAAAUGCUUAGAUAUCACGAAGAACUCCGAUUG
Molecule: ribosomal RNA, 622 nt
Filed under: uncultured Bacteroidales bacterium
Lineage: Bacteria; Pseudomonadati; Bacteroidota; Bacteroidia; Bacteroidales
Description: bacterial SSU rRNA
Rfam family: Bacterial small subunit ribosomal RNA
Source: RNAcentral